GAUUUAAGUUACCGAGCUGAGUAAUCGUGAUGGAUUAUGAUAUUUCAGUUUUGAAAACCCGGUUUGGUAUAUUUCCAAGUCCGUCCAAGUGAAAGUUAGUGUUGAACAUGAUAUCUGGUGCAAUUAGCUCGCCACGUGCAUAAAAGUUAGCUGCAGAUACUUGCAGAUAGAGGGUCAUAUAAAGGGUAUUGCCAGCUCAUCAGGCACUAAACAAGUAACUCGUCAAUAU
Anastrepha ludens (Mexican fruit fly) is the source of this 229-nucleotide long non-coding RNA. RefSeq lists it as uncharacterized. The record is from RefSeq and is a predicted model, not a curated record. The transcript has 3 exons. Lineage: Eukaryota; Metazoa; Arthropoda; Insecta; Diptera; Tephritidae.